Molecule: small RNA, 178 nt
Filed under: uncultured Caulobacter sp.
Lineage: Bacteria; Pseudomonadati; Pseudomonadota; Alphaproteobacteria; Caulobacterales; Caulobacteraceae
Description: caulobacter sRNA CC2171
Rfam family: caulobacter sRNA CC2171
Source: RNAcentral
AACCACUGAAAGGAGGUGAUCCAGUGUCUCAUUGUCUCCAACCGCGGUCGCAAGUCGUGACCUGGAGCCUGAAGAACGAGGUCUCCGCCUGAGGCGUUGAACGCCAAGGGUUUCUAAGUCACGUGCUGCGAAAGCGGCUACGACGAUGGAGGGCCGUCCCGAGCGAUCGGGGCGGCCC